This 589-nucleotide ribosomal RNA is filed under the name uncultured bacterium. RNAcentral's name for it is "bacterial SSU rRNA". It matches the Rfam family "Bacterial small subunit ribosomal RNA", at positions 337 to 917 of the family's 1533-position model. The record is from RNAcentral.
UCCUACGGGAGGCAGCAGUGGGGAAUAUUGGACAAUGGGCGCAAGCCUGAUCCAGCCAUACCGCGUGGGUGAAGAAGGCCUUCGGGUUGUAAAGCCCUUUUGUUGGGAAAGAAAAGCGAUCGGUUAAUACCCGGUUGUUCUGACGGUACCCAAGGAAUAAGCACCGGCUAACUUCGUGCCAGCAGCCGCGGUAAUACGAAGGGUGCAAGCGUUACUCGGAAUUACUGGGCGUAAAGCGUGCGUAGGUGGUGGUUUAAGUCCGUUGUGAAAGCCCUGGGCUCAACCUGGGAAUUGCAGUGGAUACUGGGUCACUAGAGUGUGGUAGAGGAUAGUGGAAUUUCCGGUGUAGCAGUGAAAUGCGUAGAGAUCGGAAGGAACAUCUGUGGCGAAGGCGACUAUCUGGGCCAACACUGACACUGAGGCACGAAAGCGUGGGGAGCAAACAGGAUUAGAUACCCUGGUAGUCCACGCCCUAAACGAUGCGAACUGGAUGUUGGGUUCAACUUGGAACCCAGUAUCGAAGCUAACGCGUUAAGUUCGCCGCCUGGGGAGUACGGUCGCAAGACUGAAACUCAAAUGAAUUGACGGA